GGCUCAGAACGAACGCUGGCGGCAGGCUUAACACAUGCAAGUCGAGCGCCYCGCAAGRGGAGCGGCAGACGGGUGAGUAACGCGUGGGAAUCUACCCAUCUCUACGGAACAACUCCGGGAAACUGGAGCUAAUACCGUAUACGUCCUUCGGGAGAAAGAUUUAUCGGAGAUGGAUGAGCCCGCGUUGGAUUAGCUAGUUGGUGGGGUAAUGGCCUACCAAGGCGACGAUCCAUAGCUGGUCUGAGAGGAUGAUCAGCCACACUGGGACUGAGACACGGCCCAGACUCCUACGGGAGGCAGCAGUGGGGAAUAUUGGACAAUGGGCGCAAGCCUGAUCCAGCCAUGCCGCGUGAGUGAUGAAGGCCCUAGGGUUGUAAAGCUCUUUCAACGG
RNAcentral lists this ribosomal RNA (391 nucleotides) under Mesorhizobium sp. R-46074. Its description in RNAcentral is "bacterial SSU rRNA". It matches the Rfam family "Bacterial small subunit ribosomal RNA", at positions 21 to 442 of the family's 1533-position model. The record is from RNAcentral. Lineage: Bacteria; Pseudomonadati; Pseudomonadota; Alphaproteobacteria; Hyphomicrobiales; Phyllobacteriaceae.